AGAAUCAUAGAUGCAAAAAGGUGAAUGCAUAUUUUAAAUAUAAAAUAUUGCAUUUCGUGAUAAUCUGAUUUAGGUUAGGAGCUGUACAACUGGCUAAACGCUCGUAUCUUCGAAGUUCUUGUUUUUAGUCUUCAAUGAAGGUGCAAAUACUCCAUACAAAAUAUAUAAGCGGAACAAGAUGCGGAGGAAUAAACAUGUGGAAGCACGGAUCGAGGAGCUAGAACACACAACUUUGUUUACAAACACAGAGACAGUAGGUGGGAUGAAAAUGUUGUUAAAACAGGACUGAUGUUCAAAGUUGGAACUCUUUAUAAUGCGUGUGCUCACGAGACCCAAGAUAGUGUGAUGUUAACCACUGAAAUAGAAUACUUAUGAGUACCUUUUAUGUUUUUUAGAGGUUGACUUUGCUAAAUAAAUUUUUACACCUAAUUUUAAGACUGUUGAUGUUGGUAUAUCUAAUAGUGAACAGAAACGAAGUCAACUAGAAUCAAAUUAUCACAAGAAAUCGAGCGUGAACUUCACCGAUAAAUUAUCAAAGUCAAAUUCAGGUAUACUACAAAUGAAGUAUAAUUAGAGCCGAAACAAUUGCCAGUUGGCAUCUGCUCUGCUAUUUCCUUUU
Molecule: long non-coding RNA, 619 nt
Filed under: Setaria viridis
Lineage: Eukaryota; Viridiplantae; Streptophyta; Magnoliopsida; Poales; Poaceae
Description: long non-coding RNA (SVIR_LNC008420)
Source: RNAcentral